RNAcentral lists this long non-coding RNA (3085 nucleotides) under Homo sapiens (human). Its description in RNAcentral is "HSALNT0363805". Lineage: Eukaryota; Metazoa; Chordata; Mammalia; Primates; Hominidae. The record is from RNAcentral.
CAAGUGAUCUGCCCGCCUCGGCCUCCCAAAGUGUUGGGAUUAUAGGCAUGAGCUACCACACCUGGCUGCCCAUUUUCACAUAGAUGGAAGCAGAGCUCCCUCCCCGUGCUAAGCUGCAGCAUGCGCUCAAUGCCACUGCCACUCCCAGUCACGGGACACCAAGGAAUGUCCUUCUGGGCUCAGGGGGCCAACUGCUGAAGGGAGAAAGCACGAGGGGCAAAGUUCCCUGGCAGCGGGAGGGCUGUCCCCCACUCAGGGCACCAUGGCCCCAGCCCUGCUGGGGCAACCCAGAGAACCCUGAGGCAGGAGACAGGGAGAGUGGUGAGGCCUUCCCCUGCACAAGCAUCCAGAACUCCUGAGAGCUCUUCAGAGUAGGAAGGGAGGUGCCAGGUGACCUCGCCUGACCACAAAUGUGAGGAACCCGAGGCCUACAGAGGAAGAGUCCAGCCAGUCCACAAACACCCACUGGGCACCAGCCAGGUGCUGGGGACACUGGGAUGAAUGUGACCAGCUCUGAAGAGGCUCCUCAUCAGGACCUGGGACUAAGAAGGUACAGCUCCGCUGAAUUGAGUAAAUGUGUCACCCACCCAAAGCAACGACCCAGAGCAAUUAACAGAUCACUUCUUCCUUUUAAGGCAUGUAUUUAAGGCUUGUCUUUCUUUGAAAACCCUCGGAGGAAAGAGAUGCAGCACUGUGGGGGAAAAAUGAAAUGGAAGAGACUUAGAUUGUCUUGGCAUUUCCAAGUGCUGGCUCUGUUCCUGGCACACAGUAGAUGUCUGAGAUAUGUUCUUUUGGUGGAUGAAAGAAUAAAAAUAUCUCCACGGCCACUUGCCCCUGCUGCCUGAAGUUCCACCAUUAUCACUGAAUCUUUUCUGGGGCUAAAGAGUAUUCCCUGUGAUGCUCUCUCAAAAUGCAGUCCUGGGCCAGGAAACUAGCUCUGGCUGGGGGUUUCCUUGCACAAAACAGCAAGGUCAGGGUUUGCCCAUGAGAUCUUCUCACUGCAUUCUCAAGACGGUGUGUCCAGACCCUGCUCUUUGACCAAGGAGUUGCAUGUUCAAAUAAGCUUAGGAAAGGCUGGCUGCACACUCUGCCACCCAUUGGGGUCCCUAAUUCGUAUUAAUACAUUAAAGACCCUGAGAAGGCCUGUUUGGAUUUAUGUGACCUAGCGUUUCCCAAAUCUGUAUGCUCAUGCAUCCUUGAAUCCAUUCCCAUGCCACGGGACUAGGGCUCCUCAGGGGACAGUUUGGGGAGUGUGGACUAGAUAGUGCGCCUGGGUCCAGGCGGGACAAGGUCUGCAGGUUGAAGGGUGUCUGUGGCUGCCACCCAGCCAGGGCCAUGCUUCCCUGCACUGACCAUUUGACAGAGGCAAAAAGUCCAACCUCAGCCACCACCACCAAUAGCUCAUGACAGAGACAGAUAAUGAACAUGGCAUCAGACAGCCUCCAAACGUAGCGCAAAGGAGGGAGAAGGUAACAGAGUGGGCCAGAGACCUGAGUGAGUUCCAACUGUGACUUUGUGCUCACUGCUGGCCAUUGGGCGGGGGGACCCCAUCCUGCUAAGCUUUGUUUUCAUCAUCUGCAAAAUGGGGAUAAUGCUAUUCUCAGGGCUGUUGUGAAGAUUGAGGUAAUGCAAGCAGAGGCAGAUUACAAACUGUCAAGUCCUGUGCCAGCAUUUGCUGUGUGCAUCAUUAUUUUACUGCAUGCAUGGCCAGGAGGGUGUGGUAAUGUCUUGAUUGAUCACAAGCCACUGCAGAGGUCCUCAAUCAGGACAGAUGGAUGGAUGGAUACAUGGAUGCAUGGAAGAAUGCACAGACAGAAUCCCCAGUGUGACACAGGCUCACCAAUGGCUGACUGGUUGAAUAGGCUGUGGGACCUCAAGCCAGUCACCUCACCUGCCUGAGCCCGAGGUUUCUCACCUGCAAAAUGAGGGAUGAAAGCGGAUCUCAUGUGGGAAAGGAGCCACUCCAAGGAGAGACUCAAACAUGACUGCCCUUGAGCUGGGCACUGACAGGGCACAUCUGGACAGAGGAGGGGCUCAGUCUGCCUCUGCAGAGUCCCCAGCAAGAGGAAGAAGGCUCCAAUUGCAGCAGAGUGGACUUCAAUUAGUCUCAAGAAAGAACUUCCUGCAGAGGCAUUAAGCAUGAACAGCAUACAGAGAAGGGGGGCAUGAUGAGGGCAACUGUAGCAUCUCCUCUGAAAUACAGGAUGCUGUCUCAUUCAUUAUGUCAUUUUACUUUCAAACCAGCCUGGAAGGUAAUCCCAGGAAGUCCUUCCUACAAAUGCAUUUUAUAGGAGAAACAACUCGUGCUCAAAGAGAUAAAAUGAUUCUUCCAGGGUCAUCCUGCCAAUGAGGAAACUGAGGCUCCGAGAAGACACGCAGGGAGCAGCUGCAUGCUGGAACCCAGGUUAACUGGAUUACCAAGUCUUCCCACUCCCCUCAUCUCUCCAGGCAGGAAGGUCCUGGGGGGAGGAAGCAGCCUCGGAAGGAAUGAGCUCCUUGUCCUGGGGAUGUGCAAGUAUUGUCUUGGGACACUGUGGGAGGUAGGCUGCAGAGGGCAGCCAGGUGGCUCUCAAACUGAAAUCACCAGGGGAGCUUCAUCAACUACUGAUGCCUGGGUCAUGCCCCAGAGAUUGUGGGGCCUGCAGGACUUUUAAAAGUUUCCCAGAUGAUUCUAAUGUGAAACAAAGUUUGAAAGCCAUGGGCUUGGAUGCCCACUGCUGCCCUUCCCACCUCUGAAACUCUCCUGCCACACGCCUUUCUAAGGAAAGAAGGGAUUUAUUACCCUGACCCCAUUUUACAAAAUGGGCAGAAGCCAAGCAAAAUAUAAGGGUGUCCUCAAGGCCCCACAGCCAGCAACAAAUCGAGGCAGCAUGAGGGGUCCCCUGAUUUCAGACUGCCCCUGGGGUGAGCUUCUUUAAGACACUUGGGGGUUCCAGCUCCCUUGUCAGUGGGAGAGAAGUUUCUCUUUGAGCCUCCUGGGUGAGAGAGUGAGACAUUCUUCGUGGCAUUUUUUUUAAAGAGUCCACUCGUUCAAAAGCUAAACAGCUGCAGGAUUAACGCUGGAAGACCCCCUCUGCUUGCUGGU